CCUACGGGGGGCGGCAGUGAGGAAUAUUGCACAAUGGGCGAAAGCCUGAUGCAGCAACGCCGCGUGGAGGAUGACGCAUUUCGGUGUGUAAACUCCUUUUAUGAGUCAAGAAAAUGACGGUAGCUCAUGAAUAAGCACCGGCUAACUCCGUGCCAGCAGCCGCGGUAAUACGGAGGGUGCAAGCGUUACUCGGAAUCACUGGGCGUAAAGGACGCGUAGGCGGGUUGUCAAGUCAGAUGUGAAAUCCUACAGCUUAACUGUAGAACUGCAUUUGAAACUGGCAACCUAGAGUAUGGGAGGGGGAGAUGGAAUUAGUGGUGUAGGGGUAAAAUCCGUAGAUAUCACUAGGAAUACCGAAAGCGAAGGCGAUCUCCUGGAACAUUACUGACGCUGAGGCGUGAAAGCGUGGGGAGCAAACGGGAUUAGAUACCCCGGUAGUCCACGCCCUAAACGAUGAACACUAGUCGUCGGGAUGCUUGUCAUCUCGGUGAUGCACUUAACAGAUUAAGUGUUCCGCCUGGGGAGUACGGUCGCAAGAUUAAAACUCAAAGGAAUUGACGG
This 561-nucleotide ribosomal RNA is filed under the name uncultured bacterium. RNAcentral describes it as "bacterial SSU rRNA". It matches the Rfam family "Bacterial small subunit ribosomal RNA", at positions 338 to 916 of the family's 1533-position model. The record is from RNAcentral.